Molecule: long non-coding RNA, 1000 nt
Filed under: Musa acuminata (dwarf banana)
Lineage: Eukaryota; Viridiplantae; Streptophyta; Magnoliopsida; Zingiberales; Musaceae
Description: long non-coding RNA (MACU_LNC005814)
Source: RNAcentral
GCAAGGUAAUAUAUCUCUGUAAGAAGGCUUUCUUAUCUAAAUGGAAUGCGUUACACAGGACAUUUCAUUAGUUUCAUCCAACUAUUCCUCUCUCAAGUUCGCUUUACUACUGAAUUGAAGAAUCUGUCCAGAGAAGUAUCAUCUUGCAUUUUAGGAAGGGAAAGGUAAUUUGAAGUUGUCGGCCUGGAUUUAAUUCUGCAUCAACCUUACUAUGAUCUCCAGAAAUAGAGAUUUAGCUUAUAUUUUGUAUGAGUCUACCACUGGCCACAUCCUGCACAAUGUAAGUAACCUCUUCAAACUAGUUCUUUGGCGUUGUUUUUACUACCGUAGACAUAUCCAUAAAACAAAGGCUAAUUCUUCACANNNNNNNNNNNNNNNNNNNNUUUAUUGUGCGACUGUUCAGAGCUUGUGAAAUAUGUUUGUAAUUUGCAUUGGUUAUGAAGUGUUUUCAGAAAUGAUUACUUGUGGAUCCCAAGUGAGACAUUUUCUCUAACCCGUUUUCUCUUUUGUAGGUCCUAAGGGACCAUAGGAGGUUUCGGGGAGGCUGACCUUUACGGACGGACACCCAAGGGUGCCGCACGACUAAGGUAAAACCAGCUAAGUUUGUGACAGAUAGUAUCAGAGCGAGACAAACACUCAUAGAAACACUUGGCAUGUAAAUGUGGGGGAUCUAGCUGUUGAAUCUCGUAUUUUGAUAAUGAAACCAUUUGAUAUGUGUUUAUGUUUUAAUUUGUGUUUUGAGUAACGCAGGAUGCUUCGAUCAGGAUGAGACAAUUAAAGUAGAAAAAAUCAUGUUGUGCCGGAGAAACAUGUUAGAAGAUUGGAUGUUAGGCCGGUGGAUUGGUCGACGUAUCGAUAGAAGGCUUCGGGCCGUGGACUCGAGCAUUGGGCCAAGAAGAGCGGGUAUUGUGCCAAGGAUAUCGGAGUUGUGGAGUCAAUUGGCCGAUUGGGCAAUAGGUCGCAGGAGAGGACGAUGCGUCGAAGAAUCGGACGAAGCGUC